UGGAGGCUGUAGAAAUCUGGAGAGGUUUCCUCAAUGAAUCAUCAACAAGAAAAUGAUAGAAGAAGAAGAUAGAAGAAAGGGGGAGAAUGGAAGUUGUUAGGUCAAACAAGAAGAAAAAGAGUAAACAAGAAGAACUCUUUAAUUGACACUCAAAAUUAUAACAUUCAACUUAAUCAAUCAUUACACAUUAACCUAUACUUAUACUUGAUAUUAUGGGUACAUUUAUAAAAUACCCCUUAUAGUAUUUUAACUCUUUACAUUCCCCCGCAAAUUGACAACUCCAGAAUGCAAUCCUGAGUUGUGAAUUUGAACAUGAGUAUGAUCAUCAGCUUGUCUGUCCACCUCCUUAGCAGCCUUGUGAACUAACUCAGCUAUGAAUUAAUUGAACUAACAGGGGGGGCGAAAAACCCAGCUGGGAUUCUUAUUUUUGCUCCUCUUUCUUUCAUUUUUACUGGGAAAACCCUCCUGUUAUGCCAAUUAAGACCCUGAAAGAAAGAACAAACAAAAAAACUCGCUGCUCAUUCUCAAAGCUCCUGCUGCUCUAGAUUUCACAUUUUCUGCUCCAGAUUAAAUUUCCAGCUAUUUGGGCAUGACCUAUCUUAGUAUGACCUGCAACCACACAAACAUACAUCCACAGUAGCCAUUCCCACAAACCAAACCAGAAAAAUAUAGACCAUUCCUUAACAAACAGACAAAAUAUUUUUAGAAUAUAUUUCAGAUUAUCACCCUGCAAUUUUCAACAUCAUAUUUAUGUAACAUUUCCUAAUAUGAAUACAAGUAUUACUAUAAGAACAGAAAUCAGAAAUACAAC
This 811-nucleotide long non-coding RNA is filed under the name Zostera marina. RNAcentral's name for it is "long non-coding RNA (ZMAR_LNC000484)". The record is from RNAcentral. Lineage: Eukaryota; Viridiplantae; Streptophyta; Magnoliopsida; Alismatales; Zosteraceae.